AAAUAAUUCAAUUUGUCAGUAGACUACUAUAGGAUAUGAUUAGACACUAUUUCAAGAAAAAUACUUGCAUUGUUAUUGGGUGAACCUCCUUAGUUGUUAGUGACUGAAGGUUCAGUAAAUGAUGCCAUGUGU
Juglans regia (Persian walnut) is the source of this 132-nucleotide small nucleolar RNA. RefSeq annotates it as small nucleolar RNA snoR74. The record is from RefSeq and is a predicted model, not a curated record. The transcript has a single exon. NCBI's taxonomy places the organism in Eukaryota, Viridiplantae, Streptophyta, Magnoliopsida, Fagales, Juglandaceae.